UCUAGCUUGUUAUAUCUGUAAUUUAUACAAACAAAUUGUCGUACCUCUCUCAGCCUUAUUGAGUUUACUUUUCGUUACCAAAUUUGAAUACCCUCAAGAACAUCCAGAAGCAGCAAGAUGCCCCUUUCUGAGCAACAACUGAAAAUUAUACGGAUGCGGCGUUCAUUUGCAUCUGGAAAAAUGACAACGGAGGAUCUUAAAAAUCGAGUUUUAGCUCUUCACCAAAGAGUACGUGAUUGGAAGGCCAUUCAGAAGAAGGAAGUGGAUCAGAAUUUAAGUUUAUGGAAAUCUCACAUGACAGAUUUUUAGUUUAAUAAAGGUCGAGAAGUGCAAAGUGCAAAGUGCACUGAGAAGAAGUAAACCUUUUCUUUUUAAUGUUUUUUAUUUAAUUUAUAUUCGAGAGAUUCAGAAUGGAAGACUUUUUGCAAAGAGUUGCUUGUAUUUUCCCCAACGAGUACUUUUCUUUUUUAAGCAUUCUGUCGCCUGCGAAAUUGAGCAAUUUAAUUAUACUCGUAUGGAAAAAUAAUGAUGCUGCCUCCGCACAUUCUCUGGAAAGGUAAACAUUGACAUCCAAUGAAGGCUUCAAAAUGCCGGGGCGACAAUUGCAAUUAAUUGCAUAUUUUAAGCCAUUCCAGAUUGGAACCGCAGACACCGUGAAUAACAAUAACAACAACAAUUGCUGUACAAAAAAAAAAAUAUAUAUAUAUAUAUGUUUAAUGUCCAUAAUAAAAAAAUGUUCAUAGUAAAAAACAAAAGGAUCGGCUUGACCGUUAUCAAAGGAAAGAAAUUAAUUGGUCUUUAUGCCAAAAAUUAACAAUUAUGACAAUAAAAAUGCAUUCUGUUUAUUAUGGGAA
Molecule: long non-coding RNA, 854 nt
Organism: Drosophila eugracilis
Lineage: Eukaryota; Metazoa; Arthropoda; Insecta; Diptera; Drosophilidae
Exons: 2
Source: RefSeq, a predicted model, not a curated record